AUAAUAUUUUUAUUAGAA
This 18-nucleotide transfer RNA is filed under the name Graeffea sp. GRA2. RNAcentral's name for it is "partial tRNA-Leu". Lineage: Eukaryota; Metazoa; Arthropoda; Insecta; Phasmatodea; Phasmatidae. The record is from RNAcentral.